GAUGAACGCUAGCUACAGGCUUAACACAUGCAAGUCGAGGGGCAGCGCAGUGUAGCAAUACAUGGGCGGCGACCGGCGCACGGGUGCGUAACGCGUAUCCAACCUUCCCGUUACUCAGGGAUAGCCUUCCGAAAGGGAGAUUAAUACCUGAUGGUGUUCAAAUUCCGCAUGUUAUUUGAACUAAAGAUUUAUCGGUAACGGAUGGGGAUGCGUGACAUUAGAUAGUAGGCGGGGUAACGGCCCACCUAGUCUACGAUGUCUAGGGGUUCUGAGAGGAAGGUCCCCCACACUGGAACUGAGACACGGUCCAGACUCCUACGGGAGGCAGCAGUGAGGAAUAUUGGUCAAUGGACGAAAGGUCUGACCAGCCAAGUAGCGUGAAGGAUGACUGCCCUAUGGGUUGUAAACUUCUUUUGUCGUUGGAACAAAACCUGCCACGUGUGGCAGUUUGCGUGUACACGUUGAAUAAGCAUCGGCUAACUCCGUG
This 487-nucleotide ribosomal RNA is filed under the name uncultured bacterium. RNAcentral describes it as "bacterial SSU rRNA". It matches the Rfam family "Bacterial small subunit ribosomal RNA", at positions 28 to 507 of the family's 1533-position model. The record is from RNAcentral.